AAAGCGAUCACACGAUCGAGAGAGAGGAAGAUCCAAUAAAACAUGUAGUAGAUGAGUUACGGUGUGACAGGGGUCGGCAGAGAAAACAGGACACCAGAGGCAGAGGAGGAGAAGUAGCAGAGGUUAAACUCUCGGGGGAAGAGGACAGGUUGCAUUAUCUGCCUCCUUCACCCUCUCCUUCACCCUCAGACUCUUUCUCCCCCUCUCUUGCUGAGAUGAGCCGGAUUUAUAACCUGAAAACAGUGGGGUCCAGGACGGCGGUGUGCAUGAGUGAGAGGACCGUGGAUAGGCCUAUCCCUAUACAUACACCCAACGUACAGUCCCGCAUAUCAGCAGAACAACAGGAGCCAAGCAGUCUGGAGAGAUCCGUUGGGAUGCUGACACAGAAGCAGCUGUGGGGUGGUGGUGGGGCAUCUGGAAAUAAGGCCUCUUGUGAUGAGAAUUCCGGACUUCAGAAAAUACAGCGUCAGGUGGAACAGCUUCAGUUGCGAGAACAACAGGAAGUACAGAGACUAUCACACGACGACAACGCAGCACAGUCGACUUUUAGUAAAAAAACUAAUUUGAAAGCUAAAGCGUCUGAAGCUCAGCAAAGCACAAGGAUAUCACACAACCAGCCCAAUAAGGAACCUCAACAGAUGCAUCCGAGGCAAAAGGACCAGCAAACACCUCUAAAUCCCAGAAAAUGUCAGUCUAAUCCGCAGUUGCACUCUGAAAGGCCUCCUCAAUCCAAUCGUGCCCGAUCCAUUACCAUCAACUCCAGAUCUCUCCUGACCCCCUCUCCUGAGAACUCAUUACACCCAGACCAGGGAGUCCCACCCAGCACAUCAUCCUCCCCAUGUUCACCCUCCCCACCCCAGUCCCCCUCCGUCUCUCCCUCUCCUUCGCCUUCUCCGAUCCAUUUCACCAUCAGAACAGGCUCUGGAGGCCAGCAGGCCAAGAGGGGCACCACCAUCACCAUCACCCCAAGGAAGCCUGUUGGAGGGGCAGCCGUGGAAUCGGUUUCAGUAUCCUCAGGACCCUCAGUCAAGACGUCUACCAAGUCCCAGAUGCCUGUCCUAACCGAGAUAGUAGAGAGAGGCAAGAAGAGAUACCCCACUACGGAGGAGAUCGAAGUGAUCGGCGGAUAUCAGAACCUGGAUAAGUCUUGCCUGGUCAAGACUCCCAAAGGGACUCCCAAAGGGUUUCCCGUGUGUAUCAAGAAUGGUCCAUCACCCAAAGGAAGUCCAGCCAACUUGACAGAACUGUGGGAAGCAUUGGAUUCAACUUGGGCCAGCAUCCCUGUGGAACGCUUUCGACACCUUGUAG
Molecule: long non-coding RNA, 1308 nt
Organism: Oncorhynchus tshawytscha (Chinook salmon)
Lineage: Eukaryota; Metazoa; Chordata; Actinopteri; Salmoniformes; Salmonidae
Source: Ensembl